GCGGGGGUUGCAGAGCCUGGUCAAAUGCGCAGGACUUAAGAUCCUGUCCCUUAGUGGGUUCGCGGGUUCGAAUCCGCCCCCCGCA
This 85-nucleotide transfer RNA is filed under the name Nitrosarchaeum sp. RNAcentral's name for it is "tRNA-Leu". It matches the Rfam family "tRNA". Rfam says of the family: Transfer RNA (tRNA) molecules are approximately 80 nucleotides in length. Their secondary structure includes four short double-helical elements and three loops (D, anti-codon, and T loops). Further hydrogen bonds mediate the characteristic L-shaped molecular structure. tRNAs have two regions of fundamental functional importance: the anti-codon, which is responsible for specific mRNA codon recognition, and the 3' end, to which the tRNAs corresponding amino acid is attached (by aminoacyl-tRNA synthetases). tRNAs cope with the degeneracy of the genetic code in two manners: having more than one tRNA (with a specific anti-codon) for a particular amino acid; and 'wobble' base-pairing, i.e. permitting non-standard base-pairing at the 3rd anti-codon position. The record is from RNAcentral. Lineage: Archaea; Thermoproteati; Nitrososphaerota; Nitrososphaeria; Nitrosopumilales; Nitrosopumilaceae.